RNAcentral lists this ribosomal RNA (24 nucleotides) under Undaria pinnatifida. RNAcentral describes it as "partial 5.8S ribosomal RNA". The record is from RNAcentral. Lineage: Eukaryota; Phaeophyceae; Laminariales; Alariaceae.
GAGUGUCUGUUGACACCACUCGCC